RNAcentral lists this ribosomal RNA (253 nucleotides) under uncultured bacterium. RNAcentral's name for it is "partial 16S ribosomal RNA". It matches the Rfam family "Bacterial small subunit ribosomal RNA", at positions 524 to 776 of the family's 1533-position model. The record is from RNAcentral.
UACGUAGGGGGCUAGCGUUGUUCGGAAUCAUUGGGCGUAAAGGGCGCGUAGGCGGCUUGAUAAGUCGGGGGUGAAAGCCUGUGGCUCAACCACAGAAUUGCCUUCGAUACUGUCGAGCUUGAGACCGGAAGAGGUAAGUGGAACUGCGAGUGUAGAGGUGAAAUUCGUAGAUAUUCGCAAGAACACCAGUGGCGAAGGCGGCUUACUGGUCCGGUUCUGACGCUGAGGCGCGAAAGCCAGGGGAGCAAACGGG